GGUCAUCUGGGCAAUCUGGUUGCAACAUCUGUCACCCCAUUGAUCGCUAGAGUUGAUUCGGCUGAUCUGGCUGGCUAGGCGGGUGUCCUCUUCCUCCCUCACCACUCCAUGUGCAUCCCUCCCGAAGCUGCGUGCUCUGUCAAAGAGGACAACCAUCCCUGAUAGAGGAGGACCAGUCUUCAGUCGAGGGUAUAGGAGUAGCUGCGCUCCCCUGCUAGAACCUCCAAACAAGCUCUCAAGGUCAUUAAAACUCUUAGCUCAAUUAAUAGUACCUAAAGAAUAUUUGCUUGUGCUAAAAAUAAGUUAUGGAGU
RNAcentral lists this small RNA (312 nucleotides) under Capra hircus (goat). RNAcentral describes it as "7SK RNA (ENSCHIG00000004433.1)". It matches the Rfam family "7SK RNA", at positions 1 to 256 of the family's 331-position model. Rfam says of the family: 7SK was discovered as an abundant small nuclear RNA in the mid-70s but a possible function has only recently been suggested. Two independent studies have found that 7SK RNA binds the CDK9/cyclin T complex (known as elongation factor P-TEFb). P-TEFb activates transcription by phosphorylating the C-terminal domain of RNA polymerase II. Lineage: Eukaryota; Metazoa; Chordata; Mammalia; Artiodactyla; Bovidae. The record is from Rfam by way of RNAcentral.